UUAAGCUACUAAGGGCUGACGGCGGAUGCCUUGGCACUAGGAGGCGAUGAAGGACGCGGCAAGCUGCGAUAAGCUUCGGGGAGCUGCUAACAGGCUUUGAUCCGGAGAUUUCCGAAUGGGGCAACCCGGCAGGAGUCAUAUCCUGUCAUUCGUUACUGAAUACAUAGGUAACGAAGGCGAACGAGGGGAAGUGAAACAUCUCAGUACCCUCAGGAAAAGAAAUCAAUUGAGAUUCCGCAAGUAGUGGCGAGCGAACGCGGAAUAGCCCAAACCCAUAGGCUUGCUUAUGGGGGUUGUGGGGCCCCGAUAUGGGAUUGAGGAGAGAUAGCGGAGUGGCAUGGAAAGGCCAAUCAAAGACGGUGAUAAUCCGGUACGCGAAAUCUCGAAUCACCCUAGGGUGUCCCCGAGUACCACGAGGCACGUGAAACCUUGUGGGAAUCUGGGAGGACCAUCUUCCAAGGCUAAAUACUACCUAGUGACCGAUAGUGAACCAGUACCGUGAGGGAAAGGUGAAAAGAACCCCGGAAGGGGAGUGAAAUAGAAACUGAAACCGUCAGCUUACAAGCAGUUGGAGCACCCAAGUGGUGUGACAGCGUGCCUUUUGCAUAAUGAGUCAACGACUUACCCUACGUAGCAAGGUUAAGCCGAUAGGUGUAGCCGCAGCGAAAGCGAGUCUUAACAGGGCGUCGAGUUACGUGGGGUAGACCCGAAGCCGGGUGAUCUAUCCAUGUCCAGGGUGAAGUCUCGGUAACACGAGAUGGAGGCCCGAACCAUUGUUGGUUGAAAACAGCUUGGAUGAGGUGUGGAUAGGAGUGAAAGGCUAAUCAAACUCGGUGAUAGCUGGUUUUCUCCGAAAUAUAUUUAGGUAUAGCCUCGCGAGUUGACUGAUGGAGGUAGAGCACUGUUUGGGCUAGGGGUCCCACCGGAUUACCAACCCCAUACAAACUCCGAAUGCCAUCAAGUUUUAUCGCGGGAGUCAGACUGUGGGAGAUAAGUUCCAUGGUCGAGAGGGUAAGAGCCCAGACCGUCAGCUAAGGUCCCUAAACUGCACUAAGUGGAAAAGGAGGUGAAAUUGCUUAGACAACCAGGAGGUUGGCUUAGAAGCAGCAAUCCUUUAAAGAUAGCGUAAUAGCUCACUGGUCUAGUGAAUUUGCGCCGAAAAUGUAACGGGGCUAAAGUGCAGUACCGAAGCUACGGAUCGAGCAAUCGAUGGUAGGAGAACAUUGUGUAGGCCUGAGAAGGUGCAUCGUGAGGUGUGCUGGAGGUAUCACAAGAGCUUAUGUUGACACGAGUAGCGAAAAUGGAGGUGAAAAACCUCCACGCCGAAAGUCUAAGGUUUCCUAGAGUCAAGUUAAUCUGCUCAGGGUUAGUCGGUCCCUAAGGCGAGGCUGAAAAGCGUAGUCGAUGGGAAACGGGUUAAUAUUCCUGUACCGAUUUUAGAUGCGAUGUGGGGACGGAGAAGGUUAGGUCAGCCAUCUGUUGGAAUAGGUGGUUCAAGCGUGUAGGCGUGCCCCUUAGGCAAAUCCGGGGGGCUAAGCUGAGGCGUUAUAACGAGGUGCUACGGCACUGAAGUGAUUGAUACCAAGCUUCCAGGAAAAGCCACUAAGCUUCAGUCUAGAAUUGACCGUACCGCAAACCGACACAGGUGGGCAGGAUGAAAAUUCUAAGGCGCUUGAGAGAACUCAGGAGAAGGAACUCGGCAAAUUGACACCGUAACUUCGGGAGAAGGUGUGCCCCGGUAGGGUAUAAGGCCUUGCGCCGAAAGCCCGAUGGGGUUGCAGUGAAAUGGUGGCUGCGACUGUUUAAUAAAAACACAGCACUCUGCAAACACGAAAGUGGACGUAUAGGGUGUGACGCCUGCCCGGUGCCGGAAGGUUAAGUGAUGGGGUGCAAGCUCUUGAUCGAAGCCCCGGUAAACGGCGGCCGUAACUAUAACGGUCCUAAGGUAGCGAAAUUCCUUGUCGGGUAAGUUCCGACCUGCACGAAUGGCGUAACGAUGGCCACACUGUCUCCUCCUGAGACUCAGCGAAGUUGAAAUGUUUGUGAAGAUGCAAUCUCCCCGCGGCAAGACGGAAAGACCCCAUGAACCUUUACUGUAGCUUUGCAUUGGACUUUGAACCGGUCUGUGUAGGAUAGGUGGGAGGCUGUGAAACCGGGACGCUAGUUUCGGUGGAGCCAACCUUGAAAUACCACCCUGGUUUGUUUGAGGUUCUAACCUUGAUCCGUGAAUCCGGAUCGGGGACCGUGCAUGGUGGGCAGUUUGACUGGGGCGGUCUCCUCCCAAAAGGUAACGGAGGAGUACGAAGGUACGCUUAGGGCGGUCGGACAUCGCCCAUAAAGUGCAAUGGCAAAAGCGUGCUUGACUGCGAGACCCACAAGUCGAGCAGGUGCGAAAGCAGGUCAUAGUGAUCCGGUGGUUCUGUAUGGAAGGGCCAUCGCUCAACGGAUAAAAGGUACUCUGGGGAUAACAGGCUGAUACCGCCCAAGAGUUCAUAUCGACGGCGGUGUUUGGCACCUCGAUGUCGGCUCAUCACAUCCUGGGGCUGUAGCCGGUCCCAAGGGUAUGGCUGUUCGCCAUUUAAAGUGGUACGUGAGCUGGGUUUAAAACGUCGUGAGACAGUUUGGUCCCUAUCUGCCGUGGGCGCUGGAUAUUUGAAGGGGGCUGCUCCUAGUACGAGAGGACCGGAGUGGACGAACCUCUGGUGUACCGGUUAUGACGCCAGUCGUAUCGCCGGGUAGCUAUGUUCGGAAGAGAUAAACGCUGAAAGCAUCUAAGCGUGAAACUCGCCUUAAGAUAAGAUAUCCCGGAGUCUUGAACUCCUUGAAGGGUCGUCGAAGACCACGACGUUGAUAGGUCAGGUGUGGAAGCGCAGCAAUGCGUUAAGCUAACUGAUACUAAUUGCCCGUAAGGCUUGAUCCU
This 2920-nucleotide ribosomal RNA is filed under the name Ephemera danica. Its description in RNAcentral is "bacterial LSU rRNA". It matches the Rfam family "Bacterial large subunit ribosomal RNA". The record is from RNAcentral. Lineage: Eukaryota; Metazoa; Arthropoda; Insecta; Ephemeroptera; Ephemeridae.